GUCAUUAUAGUUUAAAAAAAACAUUGAAUUGUGGUUUCAAAAAUGCUUUCCUAGCUAAUAACC
This 63-nucleotide transfer RNA is filed under the name Arcovestia ivanovi. RNAcentral's name for it is "tRNA-His". Lineage: Eukaryota; Metazoa; Annelida; Polychaeta; Sabellida; Siboglinidae. The record is from RNAcentral. RNAcentral also lists the same sequence under 2 other names.